AUACGGAGGGUGCAAGCGUUAAUCGGAAUUACUGGGCGUAAAGCGCGCGUAGGCGGUUUGGUAAGUCGGAUGUGAAAGCCCCGGGCUCAACCUGGGAAUUGCAUUCGAUACUGCCAGACUAGAGUAUGGUAGAGGGAAGUGGAAUUCCGGGUGUAGCGGUGAAAUGAGUAGAUAUCCGGAGGAACACCAGUGGCGAAGGCGACUUCCUGGACCAAUACUGACGCUGAGGUGCGAAAGCGUGGGGAGCAAACAGGAUUAGAUACCCUAGUAGUCC
RNAcentral lists this ribosomal RNA (274 nucleotides) under uncultured bacterium. RNAcentral's name for it is "partial 16S ribosomal RNA". It matches the Rfam family "Bacterial small subunit ribosomal RNA", at positions 523 to 796 of the family's 1533-position model. The record is from RNAcentral.